Non-coding RNA from Acanthosepion pharaonis, 100 nucleotides. The record is from the annotation of a GenBank genome assembly. Lineage: Eukaryota; Metazoa; Mollusca; Cephalopoda; Sepiida; Sepiidae.
UUACGGCCAUAUCACGUUGAAACAUCGGUUCCCGUACGAUCACCGAAGUUAAACAACAUCGAGCCUGGUCCGUACGUUGGUAGGUAACCCCUUGAGAAUA